This 253-nucleotide ribosomal RNA is filed under the name Paludibaculum sp. Its description in RNAcentral is "partial 16S ribosomal RNA". It matches the Rfam family "Bacterial small subunit ribosomal RNA", at positions 524 to 776 of the family's 1533-position model. RNAcentral also lists the same sequence under 2 other names. Lineage: Bacteria; Pseudomonadati; Acidobacteriota; Terriglobia; Bryobacterales; Bryobacteraceae. The record is from RNAcentral.
UACGUAGGCAGCAAGCGUUGUUCGGAAUUACUGGGCGUAAAGAGUACGUAGGUGGUUUGCUAAGUCCGAUGUGAAAUCUCCCGGCUUAACUGGGAGGGUGCGUUAGAUACUGGCAGGCUUGAGUGUGGGAGAGGAGAGCGGAAUUCCUGGUGUAGCGGUGAAAUGCGUAGAUAUCAGGAGGAACGCCUGUGGUGUAGACGGCUCUCUGGACCAUUACUGACACUGAGGUACGAAAGCGUGGGUAGCAAACAGG